UACCAGCUCCUCGAGUGGUCGGGGCGAUUAUUGGGCCUAAAGCAUCCGUAGCCGGUUCAGUAGGUCUUCUGCUAAAUCCAGUCGCUUAACGAUUGGCAUACAGGAGAUACCGCUGGACUAGGAGGCGGGAGAGGUGGACGGUACUCCACGGGUAGGGGUAAAAUCCUUUGAUCCGUGGAAGACCACCAGUGGCGAAGGCGGUCCACCAGAACGCGCUCGACGGUGAGGGAUGAAAGCUGGGGGAGCGAACCGG
This 253-nucleotide ribosomal RNA is filed under the name uncultured Nitrososphaera sp. Its description in RNAcentral is "partial 16S ribosomal RNA". It matches the Rfam family "Archaeal small subunit ribosomal RNA", at positions 474 to 727 of the family's 1478-position model. Lineage: Archaea; Thermoproteati; Nitrososphaerota; Nitrososphaeria; Nitrososphaerales; Nitrososphaeraceae. The record is from RNAcentral.